AAAUGCAAAAAUGAAGAAAAGGGAACCUAAUCUCACCUACUUCUGUACCAUAAAGAAAAGAACCAGAGAUUUUUACCCACCCUUCUCUAAAAAGAAAAAGAAGUGUCUCUAUUUAGAGAUUUCUCUACUUAGAUGAAUAAAUCAUACUCCAUCUAUAUUAUUAACGAAUAUGUAUCCCAAUCCAUCUCGAGUAAUUUGUA
RNAcentral lists this long non-coding RNA (200 nucleotides) under Brachypodium distachyon (stiff brome). Its description in RNAcentral is "long non-coding RNA (BDIS_LNC005080)". The record is from RNAcentral. Lineage: Eukaryota; Viridiplantae; Streptophyta; Magnoliopsida; Poales; Poaceae.